GGAGAGGAUUUCGAUUGGCUUCGGCUUGUGAGGGGACAACCACAUGCCUCGCCAUGGAGGUUCAACUCCUCCCCUCUCCACCA
Molecule: transfer RNA, 83 nt
Filed under: Deltaproteobacteria bacterium
Lineage: Bacteria; Pseudomonadati; Myxococcota; Myxococcia
Also listed under: 1 other name
Description: tRNA-OTHER
Source: RNAcentral